UGAGGCACCUAAAUAUCUUUGAGGAUCUGGGCCUAAAACACUUUUUUGGAGGCAAACAGGAUUUUUGUGACAGGAGGAACUGAACCCAGAUCUUCAGCUAGUGCUCCAACCAAUGCACCAUUUUUCCUUUGAAGACUAGCCCUUUUCAUAGCCUUCAAUAAAUAUAACUAUCCAAAUUAGCUACCCCUCACUCACCGAAUGAAGCAAUGCUGUAGCACCUUGCUAAUGUGCACUAGUGAUUGAGACACAAAUGACAUAGGGCCGAGUUUUGCGCAUGGGCAGGUAAGCAAACAUAUACCGUAUAUACCAAAAACAGAAUCCCGCAGGACAAAAUAGCUUGUCCUGCUUUGUUUGAUAAGUGUGAUUGAAGCAUAUUUACUUCAUGAGUAAAUGUUCCCUUGUAUUUUAAGGGGUGGACAAACACUACGUAUUGUAAGGCAAGACUGUGGUUGAAGCUUCACCAGGAAAAGCUGCCUGAGAAGCCAGAUCCCUGCAGCUGAGUUUUGUGAGGCACCUAUUAUAAAAUGGACUUCAAGCGAAGAAUAGGCAUGUUUAUACAAACAUAAAGGCUCUUUCCAUCAGUCAAGUGACACUUCUGAAACUAGUGAAACCUGGAAAGGGAUGUAAGACUACCUAAAAGACUCCAGAUUGUUCACUGACCCAGUUACUGUAAACGCAACAAAAACAAAACACCAAGCUGAGGGGAUGGACAUCAGGCAGAACAUACCAUACCGCUGCCAAGGCCUUAAAGCAUUGUCUCAGGUGAGGGAGCUGCACACUGACUGAUACUUAGAAGGCAGGCAGCUGGGCUAAUCAAAUUCCAAUGUGAAGGUGGAGAAUUCACUCAGGGAAGAAUCCGUGGAGGUUUUUCAUUAUCCCAUGAGUUUAGUUUGGAGCUGCCUGUGACAGGAUUAUGUAUUAUUGUCUCAAGAGCCAGGAAAAAUGAACUGGUGAGAGAGAGACUGAGCCAGUAUGGCCCCAGCUCCUGGAGUCAAGUGGAUAUGUGAUGAAUUCAGCCUUCACUCUUCAAGAAAAAGUAAAUUUUCUAUCCCUCAUGGCUGUGGAUAUAGCUUCAAAAUGUGAUCCCAGUGGACCCUAAAGGCUCAAAAAGCAGAAGGCAAAUAAAAAGAACACCAAAUAUAUUGUUUUUA
Trachemys scripta elegans is the source of this 1151-nucleotide long non-coding RNA. RefSeq lists it as uncharacterized. The record is from RefSeq and is a predicted model, not a curated record. Lineage: Eukaryota; Metazoa; Chordata; Testudines; Emydidae. The transcript is spliced from 6 exons.